UAUGUAGGCGUCUUGAAAAGUCGAACGUGAAAUCCCAUGGCUCAACCAUGGAACUGCAUUCGAUACUCUCAAGAUUGAGUAUGGAAGAGGAGAGUGGAAUUCCCGGUGUAAGGGUGAAAUCUGUAGAUAUCGGGAGGAACACCAGUGGCGAAAGCGGCUCUCUGGUCCAAUACUGACGCUGAAAUACGAAAGCUAGGGGAGCAAACA
This 207-nucleotide ribosomal RNA is filed under the name uncultured bacterium. RNAcentral describes it as "partial 16S ribosomal RNA". It matches the Rfam family "Bacterial small subunit ribosomal RNA", at positions 568 to 774 of the family's 1533-position model. The record is from RNAcentral.